CCUACGGGUGGCAGCAGUGGGGAAUAUUGGACAAUGGGGGCAACCCUGAUCCAGCCAUGCCGCGUGUGUGAAGAGGGCCCUCGGGUUGUAAAGCACUUUCAGUGAGGAAGAACGCCUGGUGGUUAAUACCCAUCAGGAAAGACAUCACUCACAGAAGAAGCACCGGCUAACUCCGUGCCAGCAGCCGCGGUAAUACGGAGGGUGCGAGCGUUAAUCGGAAUUACUGGGCGUAAAGCGCGCGUAGGUGGCUUGAUAAGCCGGUUGUGAAAGCCCCGGGCUCAACCUGGGAACGGCAUCCGGAACUGUCAAGCUAGAGUGCAGGAGAGGAAGGUAGAAUUCCCGGUGUAGCGGUGAAAUGCGUAGAGAUCGGGAGGAAUACCAGUGGCGAAGGCGGCCUUCUGGACUGACACUGACACUGAGGUGCGAAAGCGUGGGUAGCAAACAGGAUUAGAUACCCUGGUAGUC
This 465-nucleotide ribosomal RNA is filed under the name Vreelandella stevensii. Its description in RNAcentral is "partial 16S ribosomal RNA". It matches the Rfam family "Bacterial small subunit ribosomal RNA", at positions 338 to 795 of the family's 1533-position model. Lineage: Bacteria; Pseudomonadati; Pseudomonadota; Gammaproteobacteria; Oceanospirillales; Halomonadaceae. The record is from RNAcentral.